GUAGGGAAUAAUGGGCAAUGGUCGGAAGACUGACCCAGCCAUGCCGCGUGCAGGAAGACGGCCCUCUGGGUUGUAAACUGCUUUUAUCUGGGAAGAAAAAGGCCAUGCGUGGCAAAUUGCCGGUACCAGAUGAAUAAGCACCGGCUAACUCCGUGCCAGCAGCCGCGGUAAUACGGAGGGUGCGAGCGUUGUCCGGAUUUAUUGGGUUUAAAGGGUGCGUAGGCGGCUGAUUAAGUCAGCGGUGAAAGACUUCGGCUUAACCGGAGCAGUGCCGUUGAUACUGGUUGGCUUGAGUGUCGGAGGGGUACAUGGAAUUGAUGGUGUAGCGGUGAAAUGCAUAGAUACCAUCAGGAACACCGAUAGCGAAGGCAUUGUACUGGCCGACAACUGACGCUGAUGCACGAAAGUGUGGGGAUCGAACAGGAUUAGAAACCCUGGUAGUCC
This 444-nucleotide ribosomal RNA is filed under the name uncultured bacterium. RNAcentral describes it as "partial 16S ribosomal RNA". It matches the Rfam family "Bacterial small subunit ribosomal RNA", at positions 354 to 796 of the family's 1533-position model. The record is from RNAcentral.